UCUCCUUUUCUUUUCUUCUUUUCCUUUCCUUCCCUCUCUCUCCCCUACUUCUCUUCUUUCUCCUUUUUCACCCCCUCUUUCUCUUUUUCUUCUUCUUCUUUUUUUUUUUUUUUUAGGCAUGGACGCCGAAGAAGCACAGAUGCUUGCCAGGGGCCUGAAGGCUCACAAAAGAAAGGGCGUCGCGGCCUCCGGGCUGGCG
This 199-nucleotide long non-coding RNA is filed under the name Elaeis guineensis (African oil palm). Its description in RNAcentral is "long non-coding RNA (EGUI_LNC077181)". Lineage: Eukaryota; Viridiplantae; Streptophyta; Magnoliopsida; Arecales; Arecaceae. The record is from RNAcentral.